AUGAGAAAUUGCCCACCAAAACACUUGUCCAGAGGCAGCGUCAGACGAGAAGGGACACUCCUUGUGCCGCGGGGCAGGGAUGCCACCUGGUCCUCAGCGCACCAGGAAAGCACUCGGUGCUGUGGGAGCGCAGGCUUCCGCUGGUGGCUGCGAUGGAGACACCUGGGGGGCGUCGCCAGGAUUUUAUUUAAUACUCAGUCGGCUGCUGGGAAACAGGUGGCUGCAUCUCCGCUGGGGCCUGAGCCUCUCUUGGCAGCUGGGUGCUGCUGCAGGGGCUUGGAGUUUGCUUCGUCCUCCUGCUGUGGCGCUCUGCCUGCCCCUGGGUGCCGGCCUCAGCAGCUGAGCCUGAGCCUCCAGGAGAGAGUACUGCGAUUGGAUUCAGAAGCACAACAGCAAAUUGCUGACAACCUUUACAUACGCGUGUGUGUGUGUCUUUGUGGUUUUAGUGUGGAUCCUCAGCUCCGCAGGGCACUGCCAGCCCCUCGGCACAGCAUCCUCCAACUCCUCCUCCUCCUGCUCCCCCUGGGCUGGGGCUGCUCGUUCUGCUCCGCGUUCGUGCUGGCACCUCCAGCUCCUGGGGACACAGCUGUCAGGUGCAAUUAUUUUGUCUGUCCAUCUGCCCAGAGAUCUCUUGGUGCACCAGGUUGGAACAGCAGCUCCUGCACAGGAACAAGUUGCACUUUCACGCACUGCUAUUUGAGACCUAGGAUUUAUCUGAAUGGAGAAGCCACUCAGAAUCCCAAUUUUCUUUGUAUUAAGCACCGCAAAUAA
This 771-nucleotide long non-coding RNA is filed under the name Anser cygnoides (Swan goose). Its description in RNAcentral is "lncRNA (ENSACDG00005001507.1)". Lineage: Eukaryota; Metazoa; Chordata; Aves; Anseriformes; Anatidae. The record is from RNAcentral.